GAGUUUGAUCCUGGCUCAGGAUGAACGCUAGCGACAGGCCUAACACAUGCAAGUCGAGGGGUAACAUGAGUGCUUGCACUUGAUGACGACCGGCGCACGGGUGCGUAACGCGUAUGCAACUUACCUUGUACUGGGGAAUAGCCCGUGGAAACGCGGAUUAAUGUCCCAUAACACUACAAUUUCGCAUGGAAAAGUGGUUAAAGUUCCGACGGUACAAGAUGGGCAUGCGUGACAUUAGCUAGUUGGUGAGGUAAUGGCUCACCAAGGCGACGAUGUCUAGGGGUUCUGAGAGGAAGGUCCCCCACACUGGUACUGAGACACGGACCAGACUCCUACGGGAGGCAGCAGUGAGGAAUAUUGGUCAAUGGGCGCAAGCCUGAACCAGCCAUGUCGCGUGCAGGAAGACUGCCCUACGGGUUGUAAACUGCUUUUGUAUGGGAAGAAACGUUGGUACGUGUACCAAUUUGCCGGUACCAUACGAAUAAGGAUCGGCUAACUCCGUGCCAGCAGCCGCGGUAAUACGGAGGAUCCAAGCGUUAUCCGGAUUUAUUGGGUCUAAAGGGUGCGUAGGCGGUAGAAUAAGUCAGUGGUGAAAUCCUGCAGCUUAACUGUAGAACUGCCAUUGAUACUGUUUUACUUGAGUGUAAUUGAGGUAGGCGGAAUGUGUUGUGUAGCGGUGAAAUGCAUAGAUAUAACACAGAACACCGAUUGCGAAGGCAGCUUACUAAGUUAUAACUGACGCUGAUGCACGAAAGCGUGGGUAGCGAACAGGAUUAGAUACCCUGGUAGUCCACGCCGUAAACGAUGAUUACUCGCUGUAGGCAAUACACCGUCUGUGGCUGAGCGAAAGCAUUAAGUAAUCCACCUGGGGAGUACGUUGGCAACAAUGAAACUCAAAGGAAUUGACGGGGGCCCGCACAAGCGGAGGAACAUGUGGUUUAAUUCGAUGAUACGCGAGGAACCUUACCUGGACUUAAAUGUAGAUUGACGUAUCCAGAGAUGGAUAUUUCUUCGGACAAUUUACAAGGUGCUGCAUGGUUGUCGUCAGCUCGUGCCGUGAGGUGUCGGGUUAAGUCCCAUAACGAGCGCAACCCCUGUUGUUAGUUACCAGCACAUCAUGGUGGGGACUCUAACAAGACUGCCGGUGUAAACCGCGAGGAAGGUGGGGAUGACGUCAAAUCAGCACGGCCCUUACGUCCAGGGCUACACACGUGUUACAAUGGCCGGUACAGAGGGCAGCUACUUGGUGACAAGAUGCGAAUCUCAAAAACCGGUCUCAGUUCGGAUCGAAGUCUGCAACCCGACUUCGUGAAGCUGGAUUCGCUAGUAAUCGCAUAUCAGCCAUGAUGCGGUGAAUACGUUCCCGGGCCUUGUACACACCGCCCGUCAAACCAUGG
RNAcentral lists this ribosomal RNA (1397 nucleotides) under metagenome. Its description in RNAcentral is "bacterial SSU rRNA". It matches the Rfam family "Bacterial small subunit ribosomal RNA". The record is from RNAcentral.